RNAcentral lists this ribosomal RNA (388 nucleotides) under Anelasma squalicola. RNAcentral describes it as "partial 16S ribosomal RNA". It matches the Rfam family "Archaeal large subunit ribosomal RNA", at positions 2022 to 2609 of the family's 2987-position model. Lineage: Eukaryota; Metazoa; Arthropoda; Thecostraca; Pollicipedomorpha; Pollicipedidae. The record is from RNAcentral.
UCCGUGCAAAGGUAGCAUAAUCAUUAGUCUCUUAAUUGGGGACUGGUAUGAAUGGUUUAACGAGAAAUUAGCUUUUUUUGGGGCAAAUAUUGAAUUUAUCUUCUCAGUGAAAAGACUGAGAUAAUCUAAAAAGACGAGAAGACCCUAUAGAGUUUAAUGCUUGCUGUUUAAAAAAAUUUAUUGGAAGUAAUAAGUUUUUUAGAAGAGGCGUUUGGUUGGGGCGACAUGAAGAUAAAAAAAACUCUUUAUUUUAGAAACCAUAAUGAAGGAUUUAUUGAGUUGAUCCUCUAAAAGGGAUUAAAAGAAAAAAUUACCUUAGGGAUAACAGCGUAAUCUUUUUUGAGAGUUCUAAUCGACGAAAAGGUUUGCGACCUCGAUGUUGAAUUAA